GACGAACGCUGGCGGCGUGCCUAACACAUGCAAGUCAACUUGACUGAAGGAGCAAUCUGACAGUAGAGUGGCGCAAGGGUGCGUAACGCGUAAGUAACUUGCCCCAAGGUAAGGAAUAACGUCGAGAAAUCGGCGCUAAUACCUCAUAAUGCAGCGGAUCCGCAUGGAUAUGUUGUUAAAGGUUUACCGCCUUGGGAUAGGCUUGCGUCUGAUUAGCUAGUUGGUGUGGUAACGGCACACCAAGGCUACGAUCAGUAACUGGUCUGAGAGGAUGAUCAGUCACACUGGAACUGAGACACGGUCCAGACUCCUACGGGAGGCGGCAGUGAGGAAUAUUGGGCAAUGCUCGAAAGAGUGACCCAGCAACGCCGCGUGGAGGAUGAAGGUAUUCUAUAUCGUAAACUCCUGUGAGAGCAGACGAAAGACAGAUUAUUAAUCUGGAUGACUGUAUGCUCAGAGGAAGCCCCGGCUAACUACGU
Molecule: ribosomal RNA, 479 nt
Filed under: uncultured bacterium
Lineage: Bacteria
Description: bacterial SSU rRNA
Rfam family: Bacterial small subunit ribosomal RNA
Source: RNAcentral